CAAAUCCCUGUGAAAGGACAAGGAAGACACUUACUCUCUACCUUUCUUUUUUAAGGUUGUGUGGAGGAAACUUGGAGAUGCUGCAGGUUCAUGUCCUGGAAUUAGGCAACAUUUAUCAGGAAACCAGUACAAAGGACCCAUGUGAGAAGCCCUCUUUUUUUCAAACCUGAGAUCACCACUGCCAGACAGAGAUAAAGGAAGAGACGAGUGGAUUUCCACAAACCUGGACUCAUGGAAUAAUAUGGAGUGAUUGUACAUUGCACAUAUCUCCCCUCUGAAACCCUCAGUACCACACUUCCCCCAUCAAGCUGAUAUUCUGUGUCUCACUUUAGUGUUCAUGACAAACAAGUUAGCUUUGGGAAAAAAGAGUCGCCAUUUUGGUACCAAUAUUUUCAUUAGAACAAAAGCAUUUUUAACUCCCCAGAACUGAGAAUGUAAUUGGGAAAACUGCAUGGUUGGAAAGAGUUUUGAUAAGAAUUGACUCAUAGCAUACAAUGGUGGGAACUUUCUACCAAGCUGUAUUGGAGAGGUUUGCCAGCUACCCAAAGUUGAGAGUUGGGCACCUUCUUAUACUUCCCUUGAGAAAAGUUCCUGAUGCAUCCUUUAUUUGGAUGCAAGUAGAUUUGGUCUCUGGGGUUUUGAUUUGAGUUGCUGCGAAGACCACAUCAUUUCUCUUAGCCAGCUAGAAGGGUAGCAAGAGUUUGUAGAGUACCUAUCAUAGUACCACUUAUUUUGAUUGAUAAAAAAAUACCUUUUAAUCUUGAUGAGUUGCUCAUAAAAACAUUCUGGGGACAGACCAACCUCUAUAUUCAUUCAGUAUAUCCAUUUCAACUAAAAAUAAAUUUUUCUAAGUGUUUCGAGCUGUGAGAUGUCAAUUUCUACAAUUUAGUUUCUAGACAUGCUGUAUAUUUAAUAAACUUUAUGUAAACUUUACAAGAUUGCACUGCAUUUAUGAAAAAAGCUUUCUUUGCCUACCGCAGCUAUCUAGCAUUUUCUGAAACUAACGCAUGUCCUUCAUUAUUAAGGCUAAAAGCUCUUGUUCAGAUUGCUUGAGGUUUGAAACAGAGGUGUGUUAGCUUUGCUUAGUUUAUUUCCUAUUUUUGGUAUACAUAUAAUAUUAGAAUGUGUGUAUUGGAAAUGCUACGAUAGGUAUUUGUGUUUAUCUAAAUGCAAUGAUAGUUUCUUGUAUGAAUGUGCAAGAGGCCUGUGACAGAAUGCUACAUUUUUACUGUAGUUCAAGAUUACAAAAGUAGGGAUGCAACAAUUUUUAGGCAUCUUCUAAAUUAUUCAGAUUUGGUUCAUAGCAAAUAUUCAUUGUUUUAAAGUGGGCCCAUUACACAGUGUAUUAAUGCUCAAUGGUGAGAGAAUGUAGAGGGAUUUCAUUAUACUUUAAGAAAGGGUAACUGAUGAAAAACAGCUCUUUAGUUUCAGAAAAUAAUUUAUUAUAGAAUUAUUUCUAUCACAAUCGGGUUAGUUUAAGCUGCUUUCUUUUAAAAUGUAUUAAGUAUUACUUUAUUAAAUUGGUUGCUAUAUUUAUACCUUGUCUCAUAGAAGUGCUUUUAUCCUUAAAUUGUUGUAUUCCUACACUCGAAAAUGUUUAAAACAAGUUUUUGUGCCUGCAGCUGAAUCUGCAGAAGCUAAUACAAGGGACGCUGGUCUUUUGCAAAAUACUUGUGUAAAUUUUGAUACUGUAUUAAAACUAUUUUUUUAAAGUACCACAUAAAAUUGAGUAUUAAGUAUGUGUUCAUCUUAGCAAUGGUAAUAAAUUAUUUAAUCUCA
RNAcentral lists this long non-coding RNA (1779 nucleotides) under Marmota monax (woodchuck). Lineage: Eukaryota; Metazoa; Chordata; Mammalia; Rodentia; Sciuridae. The record is from RNAcentral.